This 253-nucleotide ribosomal RNA is filed under the name uncultured bacterium. RNAcentral describes it as "partial 16S ribosomal RNA". It matches the Rfam family "Bacterial small subunit ribosomal RNA", at positions 524 to 776 of the family's 1533-position model. The record is from RNAcentral.
UACGUAGGGAGCAAGCGUUGUCCGGAAUUAUUGGGCGUAAAGAGCUCGUAGGCGGCUUGUCACGUCGGAUGUGAAAGCCCGGGGCUUAACCCCGGGUCUGCAUUCGAUACGGGCUAACUAGAGUGUGGUAGGGGAGAUCGGAAUUCCUGGUGUAGCGGUGAAAUGCGCAGAUAUCAGGAGGAACACCGGUGGCGAAGGCGGAUCUCUGGGCCAUUACUGACGCUGAGGAGCGAAAGCGUGGGGAGCGAACAGG